UGCGGCCUGAGAGACUGGCUUAUGAUGUAAUUGAAUUGCUAAGUCACGAAUGCAUUUAAGCUAUGGCUUUCUAGACACUCUUGACUAUAUGGACUUGGUAGCAUCUAUCAAUUGAGGUACAUCAUUGAAGAAAGGAAUGUUCUUCUGUUGGAGUUCUAGGCAGUUUUCUGGUGUAGCUACCCUUGGGUUGAAGGGCUCGCGGUCAGGGAGAGCCAAACCUUGCUUUAGCCUACCCAUAUACCUAGAAUGCAG
This 252-nucleotide unclassified non-coding RNA is filed under the name Hevea brasiliensis (rubber tree). Lineage: Eukaryota; Viridiplantae; Streptophyta; Magnoliopsida; Malpighiales; Euphorbiaceae. The record is from RNAcentral.